RNAcentral lists this ribosomal RNA (735 nucleotides) under uncultured bacterium. RNAcentral describes it as "bacterial SSU rRNA". It matches the Rfam family "Bacterial small subunit ribosomal RNA", at positions 28 to 776 of the family's 1533-position model. The record is from RNAcentral.
GACGAACGCUGGCGGCGCGCCUAACACAUGCAAGUCGAACGAGCGAGAGAGAGCUUGCUUUCUCGAGCGAGUGGCGAACGGGUGAGUAACGCGUGAGGAACCUGCCUCAAAGAGGGGGACAACAGUUGGAAACGACUGCUAAUACCGCAUAAGCCCACAGGUCGGCAUCGACCAGAGGGAAAAGGAGUAAUCCGCUUUGAGAUGGCCUCGCGUCCGAUUAGCUGGUUGGUGAGGUAACGGCCCACCAAGGCGACGAUCGGUAGCCGGACUGAGAGGUUGAACGGCCACAUUGGGACUGAGACACGGCCCAGACUCCUACGGGAGGCAGCAGUGGGGAAUAUUGCACAAUGGGGGAAACCCUGAUGCAGCGACGCCGCGUGGAGGAAGAAGGUCUUCGGAUUGUAAACUCCUGUUGUUGAGGAAGAUAAUGACGGUACUCAACAAGGAAGUGACGGCUAACUACGUGCCAGCAGCCGCGGUAAAACGUAGGUCACAAGCGUUGUCCGGAAUUACUGGGUGUAAAGGGAGCGCAGGCGGGAAGACAAGUUGGAAGUGAAAUCUAUGGGCUCAACCCAUAAACUGCUUUCAAAACUGUUUUUCUUGAGUAGUGCAGAGGUAGGCGGAAUUCCCGGUGUAGCGGUGGAAUGCGUAGAUAUCGGGAGGAACACCAGUGGCGAAGGCGGCCUACUGGGCACCAACUGACGCUGAGGCUCGAAAGUGUGGGUAGCAAACAGG